UCCAGCUUGCUGGAGUGGAUCAGUGGCGAACGGGUGAGUAACACGUGAGCAACCUGCCCCGAACUCUGGGAUAAGCGCUGGAAACGGCGUCUAAUACCGGAUACGCACCAGGAGGGCAUCUUCACUGGUGGGAAAGAUUUUUUGGUUCGGGAUGGGCUCGCGGCCUAUCAGCUUGUUGGUGAGGUAACGGCUCACCAAGGCGUCGACGGGUAGCCGGCCUGAGAGGGUGACCGGCCACACUGGGACUGAGACACGGCCCAGACUCCUACGGGAGGCAGCAGUGGGGAAUAUUGCACAAUGGGCGCAAGCCUGAUGCAGCAACGCCGCGUGAGGGAUGACGGCCUUCGGGUUGUAAACCUCUUUUAGCAGGGAAGAAGCGAAAGUGACGGUACCUGCAGAAAAAGCGCCGGCUAACUACGUGCCAGCAGCCGCGGUAAUACGUAGGGCGCAAGCGUUAUCCGGAAUUAUUGGGCGUAAAGAGCUCGUAGGCGGUCUGUCGCGUCUGCUGUGAAAACCCGAGGCUCAACCUCGGGCCUGCAGUGGGUACGGGCAGACUAGAGUGCGGUAGGGGAGAUUGGAAUUCCUGGUGUAGCGGUGGAAUGCGCAGAUAUCAGGAGGAACACCGAUGGCGAAGGCAGAUCUCUGGGCCGUAACUGACGCUGAGGAGCGAAAGGGUGGGGAGCAAACAGG
RNAcentral lists this ribosomal RNA (690 nucleotides) under Microbacterium sp. RNAcentral describes it as "bacterial SSU rRNA". It matches the Rfam family "Bacterial small subunit ribosomal RNA", at positions 74 to 776 of the family's 1533-position model. The record is from RNAcentral. Lineage: Bacteria; Bacillati; Actinomycetota; Actinomycetes; Micrococcales; Microbacteriaceae.